GACGAACGCUGGCGGCGUGCUUAACACAUGCAAGUCGAACGGAAAGGCCCUGCUUGCAGGGUACUCGAGUGGCGAACGGGUGAGUAACACGUGGGUGAUCUGCCCUGCACUUCGGGAUAAGCCUGGGAAACUGGGUCUAAUACCGGAUAGGAGCCAUUUUUAGUGUGAUGGUUGGAAAGUUUUUUCGGUGUAGGAUGAGCUCGCGGCCUAUCAGCUUGUUGGUGGGGUAAUGGCCUACCAAGGCGGCGACGGGUAGCCGGCCUGAGAGGGUGAACGGCCACAUUGGGACUGAGAUACGGCCCAGACUCCUACGGGAGGCAGCAGUGGGGAAUAUUGCACAAUGGGCGCAAGCCUGAUGCAGCGACGCCGCGUGGGGGAUGACGGCCUUCGGGUUGUAAACUCCUUUCGCUAGGGACGAAGCUUUUGUGACGGUACCUAGAUAAGAAGCACCGGCUAACUACGUG
This 464-nucleotide ribosomal RNA is filed under the name uncultured bacterium. RNAcentral's name for it is "partial 16S ribosomal RNA". It matches the Rfam family "Bacterial small subunit ribosomal RNA", at positions 28 to 507 of the family's 1533-position model. The record is from RNAcentral.